GCAGUAGUAGUAUAGUGGUAAUACUUUAGCUUCCCAAGCUAAUAUCCUGGGUUCAAUCCCCAGCUACUGCA
This 71-nucleotide transfer RNA is filed under the name archaeon. Its description in RNAcentral is "tRNA-Gly". It matches the Rfam family "tRNA". Rfam says of the family: Transfer RNA (tRNA) molecules are approximately 80 nucleotides in length. Their secondary structure includes four short double-helical elements and three loops (D, anti-codon, and T loops). Further hydrogen bonds mediate the characteristic L-shaped molecular structure. tRNAs have two regions of fundamental functional importance: the anti-codon, which is responsible for specific mRNA codon recognition, and the 3' end, to which the tRNAs corresponding amino acid is attached (by aminoacyl-tRNA synthetases). tRNAs cope with the degeneracy of the genetic code in two manners: having more than one tRNA (with a specific anti-codon) for a particular amino acid; and 'wobble' base-pairing, i.e. permitting non-standard base-pairing at the 3rd anti-codon position. The record is from RNAcentral.